This 434-nucleotide ribosomal RNA is filed under the name uncultured bacterium. RNAcentral describes it as "partial 16S ribosomal RNA". It matches the Rfam family "Bacterial small subunit ribosomal RNA", at positions 29 to 507 of the family's 1533-position model. The record is from RNAcentral.
AGCGAACGCUGGCGGCAGGCCUAACACAUGCAAGUCGAACGAACCUUUCGGGGUUAGUGGCGGACGGGUGAGUAACACGUGGGAACGUGCCUUUAGGUUCGGAAUAACUCAGGGAAACUUGUGCUAAUACCGAAUGGGCCCUUCGGGGGAAAGAUUUAUCGCCGUUAGAGCGGCCCGCGUCUGAUUAGCUAGUUGGUUGAGGUAAUGGCGCACCAAGGCGACGAUCAGUAGCUGGUCUGAGAGGAUGAUCAGCCACAUUGGCACUGAGACACGGCCCAAACUCCUACGGUAGGCAGCAGUGGGUAAUCUUGCGCAAUGGGCGAAAGCCUGACGCAGCCAUGCCGCGUGAAUGAUGAAGGUCUUAGGAUUGUAAAGUUCUUUCACCGGGGACGAUAAUGACGGUACCCGGAGAAGAAGCCCCGGCUAACUUCGUG